Molecule: long non-coding RNA, 582 nt
Organism: Choloepus didactylus (southern two-toed sloth)
Lineage: Eukaryota; Metazoa; Chordata; Mammalia; Pilosa; Megalonychidae
Exons: 3
Source: RefSeq, a predicted model, not a curated record
GUGGAUUCAAGGCUCCAGCACAUUUUAAUGAUUGUGGAAUCUAUCAGAAGGAUCCCAUCCAGGACACCACAAUAUAGUGAGCUGUCAUGUCUCCUUAGGCUCCUCUUGGCUGUGACAACUUCUCAGACUUCCCUUGUUUUUGACAGCCUUGAUGUUUUGAGGAAAGUACCAGGCAGAAGGCUGAAUUGAGUGGACAACAGCAAGAGCUUCCAAUAGGGUUUGGACAACCUAAGCAGGAGAUUGGAAGGAGGAGGAACGGGAGAUGGAGCUAUGGGGUUGUCUCAGGCUGGCUGUGUCUUUGGAAAGUAAAAUACAGCUCCUCUCAAGACAGAUCUUGUUUGCAACUGUAAUGUCUUCUAUAAUUCAGGCCUAGCCAUCAGGUAGCAACAAAUGUUACUGGCCCUGGGGUCCUGUACUAUCCCUAAUGGAUUCUCUACUGCAUACCCUGCACACUUGUUUAUAAAUACCCUCUUUGUUAAACUGUUCUAGAAUAACCCUAAUGUCAGCGUUCAAUCUGUUUUCUAUUGGGACCUUUUAAAAAGAAGCUUUUGUGUGGUAUAUGUAAAAACUCUUCAAUAAAUA